CGCCUCAUCUCGCGAUGAGAACGAGACGCCCCGGGAGUGCGGGGCUCGGCCGCAGCCGAGCCCAUCCUCCCUCGGCCCGCGCCAGGGCGGGCCUUCACUUUCAUUGCGCCUUUAGGUUUAUGCGGUCCCAAUGACUCGCGCACAUGCUAGACUCCUUGGUCCGUGUUUCAAGACGGGCCCUGAAAGUACCCAAAGCAAUAGCGUCGCUGACCGGCGCAGACGAGGUCUGUCCGAGAACGCCGCCGCGAGCAGCCGCUCGGGCCCGCCGCCGGCACCAGGUCCGGGACGGCGGGUUGUCCGCGCGAGCUUGCGACGGGUCGGACGCGUACGAGACGCGGCCCCGCGCCACGGGUCAUUCCGCCGGGCCGAGUCGGCUCGGGAAGCGCGGGUCGGCGCGGCCGUAAAGCCGCGCCGGCUCCACCGCACACCUUAAGCCGACGCCCAGCGGGUCGCGACGUCCUACUGGAGGAGAAGUGCACGCGUUCGCACGCCGGACGGCCGGGGCCGGCGCGUCGCGCCCCGAAGGACGCGCCGUCGCGCGGCGACCCGAUACCGCCGGCCGGAGCCGCGCUGAAUCUCCCCGUUCGAACUUUCGGGUUUCUCAGGUUUACCCCUGAACGGUUUCACGUACUAUUGAACUCUCUCUUCAAAGUUCUUUUCAACUUUCCCUCACGGUACUUGUUCGCUAUCGGUCUCGUGGUAAUAUUUAGCCUUAGAUGGAGUUUACCACCCACUUUGGGCUGCACUCUCAAGCAACCCGACUCUGAGGAGAGGUCCUCCCGUCGCCGGCGUCGGUCGCUACGGGCCUGGCACCCUCUGUGGGUAAGUGGCCCCGUUCAAGAAGGACUUUGACGCGACGCGCGACUUCGGGAUUGCGGACCCUCCCUAACGCCACAUUUCCCGGCGACCGUCGGGCCGCGGGAUUCGGCGCUGGGCU
RNAcentral lists this ribosomal RNA (937 nucleotides) under Termitoscaphium sp. A-RO-2015. Its description in RNAcentral is "partial 28S ribosomal RNA". The record is from RNAcentral. Lineage: Eukaryota; Metazoa; Arthropoda; Insecta; Coleoptera; Staphylinidae.